Molecule: ribosomal RNA, 243 nt
Filed under: Staphylococcus aureus
Lineage: Bacteria; Bacillati; Bacillota; Bacilli; Caryophanales; Staphylococcaceae
Description: partial 23S ribosomal RNA
Rfam family: Bacterial large subunit ribosomal RNA
Source: RNAcentral
AGAUUAAGUUAUUAAGGGCGCACGGUGGAUGCCUUGGCACUAGAAGCCGAUGAAGGACGUUACUAACGACGAUAUGCUUUGGGGAGCUGUAAGUAAGCUUUGAUCCAGAGAUUUCCGAAUGGGGAAACCCAGCAUGAGUUAUGUCAUGUUAUCGAUAUGUGAAUACAUAGCAUAUCAGAAGGCACACCCGGAGAACUGAAACAUCUUAGUACCCGGAGGAAGAGAAAGAAAAUUCGAUUCCCU